GACGAACGCUGGCGGCGUGCCUAAUACAUGCAAGUAGAACGCUGGAGGAGGAGCUUGCUUCUCUGGAUGAGUUGCGAACGGGUGAGUAACGCGUAGGUAACCUGCCUGGUAGCGGGGGAUAACUAUUGGAAACGAUAGCUAAUACCGCAUAAUAGUAGAUGUCGCAUGACAUUUGCUUAAAAGGUGCAAUUGCAUCACUACCAGAUGGACCUGCGUUGUAUUAGCUAGUUGGUGAGGUAACGGCUCACCAAGGCAACGAUACAUAGCCGACCUGAGAGGGGGAUCGGCCACACUGGGACUGAGACACGGCCCAGACUCCUACGGGAGGCAGCAGUAGGGAAUCUUCGGCAAUGGACGGAAGUCUGACCGAGCAACGCCGCGUGAGUGAAGAAGGGUUUCGGAUCGUAAAGCUCUGUUGUAAGAGAAGAACGAGUGUGAGAGUGGAAAGUUCACACUGUGACGGUAUCUUACCAGAAAGGGACGGCUAACUACGUG
This 495-nucleotide ribosomal RNA is filed under the name uncultured bacterium. RNAcentral describes it as "partial 16S ribosomal RNA". It matches the Rfam family "Bacterial small subunit ribosomal RNA", at positions 28 to 507 of the family's 1533-position model. The record is from RNAcentral.